UUCCGGUUGAUCCUGCCGGACCCUACUGCUAUCGGGAUAGGACUAAGACAUGUUAGUCGGGCGUCUCUAAGCCAUGAAAGAGACGCGGCGUACGGCUCAGUAGCAUGUGGCUAACCUAACCUAAGGACAGAGACAACCCCGGGAAACUGGGGCUAAUCCCUGAUAGGCGUGGACUCUUGGAAUGGAUUCACACCCAAAGAGCAUUUGAUUCAUGCUUCAGAUGUUGCCUCAGGAUGGGGCCGCAACCGAUCAGGUCGUUGGCGAGGUAACGGCUCACCAAGCCUAUAACCGGUACGGGCCGCGGGAGCGGUAGCCCGGAGAUGGACACUGAGACAAGGGUCCAGGCCCUACGGGGCGCAGCAGUCGCGAAAACUUCACAAUACGCGAAAGCGUGAUGGGGCUAUCCCGAGUGCCAUCCGCUGAGGAUGGCUUUUCUCCAGUGUAAGGCGCUGGAGGAAUAAGGAGAGGGCAAGCCUGGUGUCAGCCGCCGCGGUAAUACCAGCUCUCCGAGUGGUAGGGAUGUUUAUUGGGCUUAAAGCGUCCGUAGCCGGCUCAGAAAGUCCUCCGUUAAAUCCAACGAUUCAAUCGUUGGACUGCGGGGGAUACUCUUGGGCUUGGGGACGGGAGAGGUCGACGGUAUUCUCGGAGUAGGGGUGAAAUCCUAUAAUUCCGGGAGGACCACCAGUGGCGAAGGCUGUCGACUGGAACGAGCUCGACGGUGAGGGACGAAAGCUGGGGGAGCGAACCGGAUUAGAUACCCGGGUAGUCCCAGCCGUAAACGAUGCGGGCUAGGUGUUAGGGUGGCCACGAGCCACUCUAGUGCCGCAGCGAAGGCAUUAAGCCCGCCGCCUGGGGAGUACGGUCGCAAGGCUGAAACUUAAAGGAAUUGGCGGGGGAGCACCACAAGGCGUGAAGCGUGCGGUUUAAUUGGAUUCAACGCCGGGA
Molecule: ribosomal RNA, 945 nt
Filed under: uncultured archaeon
Lineage: Archaea
Description: bacterial SSU rRNA
Rfam family: Archaeal small subunit ribosomal RNA
Source: RNAcentral